This is a long non-coding RNA of Oncorhynchus tshawytscha (Chinook salmon), 2079 nucleotides long. The record is from Ensembl. NCBI's taxonomy places the organism in Eukaryota, Metazoa, Chordata, Actinopteri, Salmoniformes, Salmonidae.
GUACAGCAAAAAAAAAAGCACAAUGUAAAAUCUCAAUAUUACAUCGCGGCAUAACCUGAACAAAAAAUAUAACAGCAGAUCCAUAACGUUGUACAGAAAGAAAAGGACAAAACUGGUUAUCAGCAUCAGUCUGUUUCAAAGAAGUCUUCAAACCAACGAAAACAGACAGGAAGAAGGACAAACUUUUGUUUAAAAUGAAUAGAGCGUCCAGGUGUUGCUGAAGCAGGAGAGAGGUUCAGCUCCUGGAGAGCAGAGGAGCUUUGUGACCUUCUCAUGUAGUCCAAACGGUCUCACGGUGGGCCUCACUGUCCAGACUCUCCCCUCGUUUCUGUUUCCAGGGUUGAGAUGUGGAGGAUGGUGGUGCCAGAUUUACAACAGGGCCAGUUCUGGCCCAAGAGGACCUCUAAAGGGGCCUAAUGUUACUCUAAGGUCCAAGGCCCUUCUGUUAUUUUCAGAGAGAGACUGGAAGCCAAAACAGACACUCCAUCUAAACAUGAAUCAGAUUCUCAACUGCGAUACAUUUCUAGAAACAUAAAACCCUUUUACUUCCAUAUCACAUCGAAAUAAUUUAGCAAAUGUAAAAUACACAUUUCCUGAAGUGGUGUGAAGUCCUUUAGUGAAACGUUUUGGGGUAUCUGUACUACAUUCCUAAAAAUAAUGUACUUUUUACUCCAUACAUUUUCCCUGACACCCAAAAAGUACAUUUUGAAUGCUUAGCAGGACAGGAAAUGGUCUGAUUUAUACACUCAUCAAGAGAACAUGGUCAUUCAUACUUUUGAUCCGUAAGUAUAUUUUAGCAAUUAUGUUGACUUUUUAUACUGAUGUAUAUUUAAAACCAAAGACUUUCACUCAAAGAACAAACUUUUGUUUAAAAAUGAAUAGAGCGUCCAGGUGUUGCUGAAGCAGGAGAGAGGUCCAGCUCCUGGAGAGCAGAGGAGCUUUGUGACCUUCUCAUAAGGUCGUAUUUUACUGGGUGACUCACUUUUCUAUUAAAGUAUCAUUACUUUUACUCAGGUAUGAGAAUGUAUUUUUUACACUGCUGCUGUACACCGUUUUGACCAGCCGACAGAAUAUUUCAGUGACAACACGUUUUCUGGCGGUCUGCUUCCAUUACACACAGGUGUCAGGUGCACGCUAGAUAUCUAACUAGCACAGGUGUCAGGUGCACGCUAGAUAUCUAACUAGCACAGGCGUCAGGUGCACGCUAGAUAUCUAACUAGCACAGGCGUCAGGUGCACGCUAGAUAUCUAACUAGCACAGGCGUCAGGUGCACGCUAGAUAUCUAAUUAGCACAGGCGUCAGGUGCACGCUAGAUAUCUAAUUAGCAUAGGUGUCAGGUGCAUGCUAGAUAUCUAAUUAGCACAGGUGUCAGGUGCAUGCUAGAUAUCUAAUUAGCACAGGUGUCAGGUGCAUGCUAGAUAUCUAAUUAGCACAGGUGUCAGGUGCACGCUAGAUAUCUAAUUAGCACAGGUGUCAGGUGCACGCUAGAUAUCUAAUUAGCACAGGUGUCAGGUGCAUGCUAGAUAUCUAAUUAGGAUAGGUGGUGUCUCGGUGGUCCGUCGACACUGUAACAUGGAUUCAUUUAAACUGGACACAGCAGAUCAUCUAGAUGACAGCAUCAACAGAGAAAAUACCUUUCUGAAAACUCGCCCCCGACUCCAAAACCAUCUGAUUCCUAAUGAAAACGGAAAAACCUUUCUGAAAUAAAUAGCUUCUCAUUUUCAGUUUAUUGAGAAAUAAUUGUAAUUAUUGAAUUGGAAUUUCAGUUUAUUUCCUGAACUGACCGACUUCUAUUGGAAUGGAUCCCAACAGGCCCCUGACCUCUGACCUCUGUGGAGCAGGACAGAUUGAGGAUGCAUCCCAACAGGCCCCUGACCUCUGUGGAGCAGGACAGAUUGAGGAUGCAUCCCAACAGGCCCCUGACCUCUGUGGAGCAGGACAAAUUGAGGAUGCAUCCCAACAGGCCCUGACCUCUGUGGAGCAGGACAGAUUGAGGAUACAGGCCCCUGACCUCUGUGGAGCAGGACAGAUUGAGGAUCCCACAGGCCCCUGACCUCUGUGGAGCAGGACAGAUUGAGG